UUAGCUUGCUAAUUUGCUGACGAGCGGCGGACGGGUGAGUAACGCGUAGGAAUCUGCCUGGUAGUGGGGGACAACAUGUGGAAACGCAUGCUAAUACCGCAUACGCCCUACGGGGGAGAGGAGGGGAUCUUCGGACCUUUCGCUAUCAGAUGAGCCUGCGUGAGAUUAGCUAGUUGGUGGGGUAAAGGCUCACCAAGGCGACGAUCUCUAGCUGGUCUGAGAGGAUGAUCAGCCACACUGGGACUGAGACACGGCCCAGACUCCUACGGGAGGCAGCAGUGGGGAAUAUUGGACAAUGGGCGCAAGCCUGAUCCAGCCAUGCCGCGUGUGUGAAGAAGGCCUUCGGGUUGUAAAGCACUUUCAGAGGUGAGGAAGAGUGCGUAGUUAAUACCUGCGUACUUUGACGUUAACCUCAGAAGAAGCACCGGCUAACUCUGUGCCAGCAGCCGCGGUAAUA
Molecule: ribosomal RNA, 457 nt
Filed under: uncultured Marinomonas sp.
Lineage: Bacteria; Pseudomonadati; Pseudomonadota; Gammaproteobacteria; Oceanospirillales; Oceanospirillaceae
Description: bacterial SSU rRNA
Rfam family: Bacterial small subunit ribosomal RNA
Source: RNAcentral